AUGACACUUUGCUAUAAAAUAGAACGUGGCUAAGAUUUACUGUAGUAUCUGUUCUUAUCAGUGUAAUAUCUGAUAUGUGGGCCAUCGGCUCACUCGUUAUUAACUCAAUUUUUGAAGGGAGCAAGCCCAUUAAAAAUACUUUGCUAUCUGGGCUUUCUGAGUUGCCCAUGUGUUGCACUACUGCAUGGACCUGGCUCAUCCCAU
Eutrema salsugineum is the source of this 204-nucleotide small nuclear RNA. It matches the Rfam family "U2 spliceosomal RNA". From Rfam's summary of the family: U2 is a small nuclear RNA (snRNA) component of the spliceosome (involved in pre-mRNA splicing). Complementary binding between U2 snRNA (in an area lying towards the 5' end but 3' to hairpin I) and the branchpoint sequence (BPS) of the intron results the bulging out of an unpaired adenosine, on the BPS, which initiates a nucleophilic attack at the intronic 5' splice site, thus starting the first of two transesterification reactions that mediate splicing. NCBI's taxonomy places the organism in Eukaryota, Viridiplantae, Streptophyta, Magnoliopsida, Brassicales, Brassicaceae. The record is from Rfam.